Molecule: ribosomal RNA, 301 nt
Filed under: uncultured bacterium
Lineage: Bacteria
Description: partial 16S ribosomal RNA
Rfam family: Bacterial small subunit ribosomal RNA
Source: RNAcentral
CAGCCGCCACGGGAAUACGAAGGGGGCUAGCGUUGCUCGGAAUGACUGGGCGUAAAGGGCGCGUAGGCGGCGGCCAAAGUCAGGCGUGAAAUUCCUGGGCUCAACCUGGGGGCUGCGUUUGAUACUUGGUUGCUUGAGUGGGGAAGAGGGUCGUGGAAUUCCCAGUGUAGAGGUGAAAUUCGUAGAUAUUGGGAAGAACACCGGUGGCGAAGGCGGCGACCUGGUCCUUUACUGACGCUGAGGCGCGAAAGCGUGGGGAGCAAACAGGAUUAGAUACCCCCGUAGUCCCUGUCUCUUAUAC